GACGGAGGGUGCAAGCGUUGUUCGGAUUGACUGGGCGUAAAGGGCGCGUAGGCGGCCUUCUAAGUCAGACGUGAAAUCCCCCGGCUUAACCUGGGAACUGCGUCUGAUACUGGGAGGCUAGAGUAUGGGAGAGGGAUGUAGAAUUCCAGGUGUAGCGGUGAAAUGCGUAGAUAUCUGGAGGAAUACCGGUGGCGAAGGCGGCAUCCUGGACCAUUACUGACGCUGAGGCGCGAAAGCUAGGGGAGCAAACGGG
Molecule: ribosomal RNA, 253 nt
Filed under: uncultured bacterium
Lineage: Bacteria
Description: partial 16S ribosomal RNA
Rfam family: Bacterial small subunit ribosomal RNA
Source: RNAcentral